This 89-nucleotide transfer RNA is filed under the name Nitrososphaerales archaeon. RNAcentral describes it as "tRNA-Gln". It matches the Rfam family "tRNA". Rfam says of the family: Transfer RNA (tRNA) molecules are approximately 80 nucleotides in length. Their secondary structure includes four short double-helical elements and three loops (D, anti-codon, and T loops). The record is from RNAcentral. Lineage: Archaea; Thermoproteati; Nitrososphaerota; Nitrososphaeria; Nitrososphaerales.
AGCCCGGUCGUCUAGCGGUCAACCUCAAGGGCUAGGGAUGCCAGGCUCUGGACCUGGUGACGGCAGUUCGAAUCUGCCCCGGGCUACCA